GAUCUAUGGUGCUCAAGAAAGGAUUUUUAAAUUGACAGGCUGAAAGAUACCAGCAUUGGGAGAGUUUAUUAAACCCACAGCCAAUGAACUUGGUUCAGCCAAUGUCUUUAAAAGAAUGAGUGUCUGAAAAGCGGCAGGGCCCUGUAUCGUUUUAGCACUGAAAAAUGAGACAGAGAUUUUGAACAGUGUGAAAUGGACAUUCUGUUCUGCAGUCGAAAGUGUGUGAGAGAGGAAACAGACUGUACCAGAAGAAGAACGAAGAAGAAAGUCUGAACAGGGACAGAUUUAUUCAAAGCGCUGUCUACAGUUCCUUUCAAGACUUCAGAAACUCGAGAACUACUCGGAAUGUGAGCGGACGGGGCAGGAGUGAAGUGAAGGAGAGUAAAAUGGUGGGGAUGAUGCCAGCACUGAAUUCUCGAGUCACGUUACUGAACAUAGUGCAGAAGGAGCAGGAGCCGUUGUCUGUGCUGUGCUUCUGGGGACUCAGAGACAUGCUGGGCCAGUCUUUUUGGCUGUGGGUCUUAACCUCAUAGAAUCCAUUUUGUCAUCUGUAACAUCGGUAUGAUAACAUGUACCUCACAGUACCGCAGUGAGAAUUCAAUGAAAUAAUGUCUACAACGUGCUCAAUGCAAUAAAUGCCACAUCACAGGGGCUUAUAGCUAGAUG
RNAcentral lists this long non-coding RNA (666 nucleotides) under Bos indicus x Bos taurus (hybrid cattle). RNAcentral describes it as "lncRNA (ENSBIXG00000000492.1)". The record is from RNAcentral. Lineage: Eukaryota; Metazoa; Chordata; Mammalia; Artiodactyla; Bovidae.